UGUGUGGAUAGCAACGUGGACUGAGGU
This 27-nucleotide non-coding RNA is filed under the name Bombyx mori (domestic silkworm). Lineage: Eukaryota; Metazoa; Arthropoda; Insecta; Lepidoptera; Bombycidae. The record is from RNAcentral.